CUCUCGGCCGCACUCUCUCUCUCCCCGACCUCACUCUCUCAUUCUCACCUUCUCCCUCUGCCAGCGCCGGAAACUCCAUCUCCGGCCACCAGCUCUUGUUACCGCCACCACCAAUCGACGCCGCACCCAAAACCGACCCAAGCCCGAGUCUCACCGUCGACAUGCAUCGCCUCCAGCCUCCGCACGGGUUCCUCGAAGCAGCGACGCCACUGCUCCUUGUCCUCCUCUGAUUUCCGGUCAUCACCUCGCCACAACGACGCCGCCGCCUGACUCAGCAAGCAACGAGGAGCAAAACCCAGAAGUUCCGCCACCCACCGAAGCCAGGAAACGCUGUGCUAGCUCGCCGGAACUCGAGGUUCUGCAUGUCUCCAUUCUCCGAUCUCCAGUCCGAAACGAGCCCAACCACCACCAUACAUGGAGUCAGCAUCUCUCCCCUUGACCAAAACCCGAUAACCCCGACCUCUAACUCUGACCAGAGCCUCCGCACGCACUACACGCGCCGGCGGCAGCACGUGAGCCACUGCAGCUCCGCCGCUCGUGUUGCCAUACCCCCAGGUCGUCACGAUUGGGUAAUUUCGUCACACCUCCCUAUACUUGAAUCCUGUAGUUUGAUUUGGACAGAAAACCCUAACUCUAUCGUUUGAAUUCCGGAUUGUGUGAGGUUAUGGAUUUCUGCAGUUUUGAGAGUUUUGGAAACGAGGAAGCCACUGCGUCAGUUUUGAUUACGACUGAAAGAGGGUGUUGAAACUGUUGUCGAUGGUGGAUUGCAGCAGCAACGACUUGAUUCCCAAUUUGGAAAAGAAGAAUGGACCGAGCGUGUGCACUUGGAUUUGGAUAAAGGAUCGAAAGUCGGGAACGAACCCGAAUGCGGGCAAGCACUCCAAUUCCAGUGUGCAGGUUUCGAGCAUGUGGUCGGGAAGCGUACAGGGGAGGCACAUGGCACGGCUUGGCGCAUUUCUCUUUAGUUUUAUCAAAAGAAGGUUUUGGUCCUUAAUCGGAUUUUGUAGUAGCUUGUUUAUUUACUUUUUAUUUAUUUCCUACUCGUUUACAAAAAUUCCGGGAGACCCGUAACCCUGGGGCGCGUCUCCCAUACUUGUCGUUACUUAGAGAUGUGUUUUAUUUUCCAAAUUGGGCUCCGAUCGCAAGCCCAAAACUCUUAGCCCAUUUCGAAUUCCGCUUUUGAAAAUGUGUUGUUAGGUUGCUAGAAUGAUUUGUCCAAGAAAGUGUUUUGUAAACCAACAACCUAAACUCAAAAGGCCUUGCGGUUUCGGGUUGAUGAGCUAUCGAGAUGCCAUUCGUGACAUGUCGAUUCCUCAUUGGCUCGGAGUCGCGGCGCUGUGGGACCCCCUCCCGGUCACUACAGUAAAGUGGUAUCAGAGCUCUAGGU
Molecule: long non-coding RNA, 1387 nt
Organism: Rosa rugosa (rugosa rose)
Lineage: Eukaryota; Viridiplantae; Streptophyta; Magnoliopsida; Rosales; Rosaceae
Exons: 4
Source: RefSeq, a predicted model, not a curated record